UACAGGGGGUGCAAACGUUGCUCGGAAUUAUUGGGCGUAAAGCGCGCGUAGGCGGCUACUUAAGUCGGAUGUGAAAGCCCUUGGCUCAACUGAGGAAGUGCACCCGAAACUGAGUGGCUUGAGUACCAAAGAGGGUCGCGGAAUUCCCGGUGUAGAGGUGAAAUUCGUAGAUAUCGGGAGGAACACCGGUGGCGAAGGCGGCGACCUGGGUGGAUACUGACGCUGAGGCGAGAAAGCGUGGGGAGCAAACAGG
This 253-nucleotide ribosomal RNA is filed under the name uncultured bacterium. Its description in RNAcentral is "partial 16S ribosomal RNA". It matches the Rfam family "Bacterial small subunit ribosomal RNA", at positions 524 to 776 of the family's 1533-position model. The record is from RNAcentral.